RNAcentral lists this non-coding RNA (148 nucleotides) under Homo sapiens (human). The record is from Rfam by way of RNAcentral. Lineage: Eukaryota; Metazoa; Chordata; Mammalia; Primates; Hominidae.
GCCGGGCGUGGUGGCGGGCGCCUGUAAUCCCAGCUACUUGGGAGGCUGAGGCAGGAGAAUUGCUUGAACCCAGGAGGCGGAGGUUGCAGCGAGCCGAGAUCGUGCCACUGCACUCCAGCCUGGGGUACAGAGCGAGACUCCGUCUCAA